Molecule: long non-coding RNA, 1317 nt
Filed under: Nicotiana benthamiana
Lineage: Eukaryota; Viridiplantae; Streptophyta; Magnoliopsida; Solanales; Solanaceae
Description: long non-coding RNA (NBEN_LNC033999)
Source: RNAcentral
AAUUCCUCUUCUUCUCCAUUCUCUCUGAAGCCUCUAAGAUCCUAGUCUCGCCAUCAUAGAAACCCUUCGAUCCAUGGGUUUCUUUGUCGACUCCCAGUUUUAUCCGUCCUCCUAUCUCUACUGGUGUUUCGUUUCUUGUAUUUCUUGGGAAUAAUCUCAAGAAGAUCGAAGCCAGAUUUGGUCCAAACCCCUCAUGUUCUCGAUUAAUCCAUCUGUAUUCACCCUAUGUUUGUGAGUAUUAUCAUUCUUUGUACUUUCAUGGCUUUAAAUCUCCGAUUUAAAACCAGACCUUAUCCCACCUCUGUUUAUUUUCGUACAAUCCUAGCUAUUUUUUUCUAAAGUAGUUCAGAUCUUUUAGAUCUGAAGUGUUUGAGUUUUUUUUAAUACUUUCCUUUUAAGUUUCUUCCAUUUUUACAAUUAUUAUCUACCCAUUUCCCUUUUUCCAAAAGCUAGAGUUUUGAUUCCUAAAGGAUUUUUGCAAAAAGGUUUUGAAGCAAUUUUGUCUUUCUUCUUUACUGUAAGAAUGAUUUCUUUGCUUGAGCGUCAUCUCUGUGUUUCGAUAUGCUUAGGGUUCUCAAAUACUCGACUAAUUUUCUCAGUAUUCUUGACCAUCUGCUUUAGCUCUAUCAACUGAAGUAAUUAAUUGCGUUAUUUGCCUAUUUAGGUUUUGGUAUUAUUUUUAAACUAGCAUCUCUCUGAAACUAGCAUAUAUAUAUAUAUAUAUAUAUAUAUAUAUAUACACAUGAUUCAUAGUUAGUAAUACUUUACUUAAUUAUGUUACUGACUUGAUUUCUAGGCCUUGAUCACUAUGACAGAAUUGCUUACCUUAUCAAACUUCAGUCUUGUCUUUUAAUUGAUACUAUAUGAAAUUCUCCUUAAUUCAAGUGAUACUUCCGUGAUCCUGUCCUAUUAAUUGAUUUGUGUUUGACUCUAAUUGAUUGAUUAAUUAAUUUUCAUACCUUAUGCAUAUAUGAUUGAUUUGCUUACCUUAUUUGAAUUCCAAUAUGAAUCGUUAAGGGAUUUAUCUGUAGGUCGAGGAACCACGUGCCAUACCUUGUUCCUCUAAAAUUGAUGAAGUUCUUCUUGCAUGGUUGUGAUCCAAUCUGCAUCUUUUAGUGCUUCCUUGAUAUUUUUGGGAUAGUGAAAAGUUGAGAAGGUAAGUGAGUUUCUGGUCUUUGAUCUGGUUUGAAUUCUUGAAUCAAGAGGAGUAAUGAUGUUAUCAAGGGGGUGUUAACUUUUAUGUUUCUAGUUAGACACCUGGACCUCUUUGUGAGAAGGUCCAUGUAUUUUUCCUGUGAGCCUUGAUUGCUUUUUGUC